RNAcentral lists this ribosomal RNA (584 nucleotides) under uncultured bacterium. RNAcentral's name for it is "bacterial SSU rRNA". It matches the Rfam family "Bacterial small subunit ribosomal RNA", at positions 102 to 666 of the family's 1533-position model. The record is from RNAcentral.
ACGGGUGAGUAACACGUAGGUAAUCUACCUUUGGAUGGGGAAUAACAACCGGAAACGGUUGCUAAUACCGCAUAAUGCAGCGGCACCUAAUGGUGACAGUUGUUAAAGCGGGGGAUCGAAAGACCUCGCGUCUGAAGAGGAGCCUGCGGCGGAUUAGCUAGUUGGUAAGGUAACGGCUUACCAAGGCAACGAUCCGUAGCCGGCCUGAGAGGGCGGUCGGCCACACUGACACUGACAUACGGGUCAGACUCCUACGGGAGGCAGCAGUCGGGAAUUUUGGGCAAUGGGCGAAAGCCUGACCCAGCAACGCCGCGUGAAGGAUGAAAUCCUUCGGGAUGUAAACUUCGCAAGAACGGGAAGAAUAAGUCUGCGCAAAUAUCGCAGGCGAUGACGGUACCGUUUGUAAGCUCCGGCUAACUCCGUGCCAGCAGCCGCGGUAAUACGGGGGGAGCAAGCGUUGUUCGGAUUUACUGGGCGUAAAGGGCGCGUAGGCGGCCACUGCAAGUCAAUUGUGAAAUCUCCGGGCUUAACUCGGAAAGGUCAACUGGUACUGCAGGGCUAGAGUGCGGAAGGGGCAACUGGAA